Molecule: ribosomal RNA, 254 nt
Filed under: uncultured bacterium
Lineage: Bacteria
Description: partial 16S ribosomal RNA
Rfam family: Bacterial small subunit ribosomal RNA
Source: RNAcentral
UACGUAGGGUGCGAGCGUUAAUCGGAAUUACUGGGCGUAAAGAGCUCGUAGGUGGUUCGGUAAGUCGGGUGUGAAACCUCCAGGCUCAACCUGGAGACGCCACCCGAUACUGCUGUGACUAGAGUCCAGUAGGGGAGCGUGGAAUUCCUGGUGUAGCGGUGAAAUGCGCAGAUAUCAGGAGGAACACCAGUGGCGAAGGCGGCGCUCUGGGCUGGCACUGACACUGAGGAGCGAAAGCGUGGGGAGCGAACAGG